ACUCCUGCGGGAGGCAGCAGUGGGGAAUUUUGGACAAUGGGCGAAAGCCUGAUCCAGCAAUGCCGCGUGAGUGAAGAAGGCCUUCGGGUUGUAAAGCUCUUUUGUCAGGGAAGAAACGGUGAAAGCUAAUAUCUUUUGCUAAUGACGGUACCUGAAGAAUAAGCACCGGCUAACUACGUGCCAGCAGCCGCGGUAAUACGUAGGGUGCAAGCGUUAAUCGGAAUUACUGGGCGUAAAGCGUGCGCAGGCGGUUUUGUAAGUCUGAUGUGAAAUCCCCGGGCUCAACCUGGGAAUUGCAUUGGAGACUGCAAGGCUAGAAUCUGGCAGAGGGGGGUAGAAUUCCACGUGUAGCAGUGAAAUGCGUAGAUAUGUGGAGGAACACCGAUGGCGAAGGCAGCCCCCUGGGUCAAGAUUGACGCUCAUGCACGAAAGCGUGGGGAGCAAACAGGAUUAGAUACCCGAGUAGUCCCAUGA
Molecule: ribosomal RNA, 474 nt
Filed under: uncultured organism
Description: partial 16S ribosomal RNA
Rfam family: Bacterial small subunit ribosomal RNA
Source: RNAcentral